GGACUACCGGGGUAUCUAAUCCUGUUUGCUCCCCACGCUUUCGCACCUCAGCGUCAAUACAUGUCCAGUCAGCCGCCUUCGCCACUGGUGUUCUUCCGAAUAUCUACGAAUUUCACCUCUACACUCGGAAUUCCACUGACCUCUCCAUGAUUCAAGCGAUGCAGUCUAAAAGGCAAUUCCAGAGUUGAGCUCUGGGCUUUCACCUCUUACUUACAAAGCCGCCUACGUGCGCUUUACGCCCAGUAAUUCCGAAUAACGCUAGCUCCCUCCGUAUUACCGCGGCUGCUGGCAC
This 292-nucleotide ribosomal RNA is filed under the name uncultured Alphaproteobacteria bacterium. RNAcentral's name for it is "partial 16S ribosomal RNA". The record is from RNAcentral. Lineage: Bacteria; Pseudomonadati; Pseudomonadota; Alphaproteobacteria.